Long non-coding RNA from Lolium perenne, 1962 nucleotides. RefSeq lists it as uncharacterized. Lineage: Eukaryota; Viridiplantae; Streptophyta; Magnoliopsida; Poales; Poaceae. The record is from RefSeq and is a predicted model, not a curated record.
GCUAUGAAUCGUUGAAGAAGCUACACAACAGUAGAAAAUGGUUUGUGGUCUGUACUUUUAUUGCAUCAAUGGUAAUGCAGUUAUAAGGUUCUUUGUUUUUGUUGUGCACCGAUCAGAUAGAAGAAUGGUGUAUCAAUGUCAUUGCAUCCAGUUAUUUGCUAUCGGUUUCCAUUUUUUGUUUGAUGAUGUUGCUUGGCCCUUGCUAAGUAAAGCACCAGUACCAGACAGUUGCAUAAACUGCUCAAAAGGGAACCAGACACCUUGCUCAUGUUUGUAACAGUUUGCUACAGAUCUUCUUAAUAAAACUCCAUGCUUUUGGUACCGCUCUCAUGAUAUAUUGGUUUUAGAAUGUAAAGACCAGCAAAAUAAAGUGCUUAUACAUGCCUGUAACAAUUUGCUGCUCUCUUUAUUGCCAAUGUUGCUGGUUUAGAGUUUUUCCAGGUGGCAUAUAGUUUUCUUACUGACAGUUUUUAAGCUUCAUUGUAUAUUACUGCUCUCUUUAUUAACAAUCAUCUAUAACUCUUAGUUCAUUGGUGUUAAAUGUUUUUGCAGAGUUACGGAUUUUCUUAAAUGUUUAAAAACCUUCUCAUAUAUAGUUCACUCCCCUACAUUUUUUAAUAGCUUAAUAAAGGAUCUGAUAGUCACGUGAAUUGGGCAACCUCAUUUUAAAUCAAAUAAUGACAAUUAUCUCUAAUUUCAUUGGUCCUCGUUUCCUUUCUAUUUACUACAUACCUCGCAUUACAUUUAUCCAUGUUUUCUGUUUCUACGUUUUGUUGUUGCUGAGCUUGAAGUGAGGCGGACUAUAAACUUCUAGGUGUUCUUCAUAGCUCUACACAUUUACAUACUCAAACAACUGAGUCGAGUAAACUUAGAAAAAAAGUUUUUUUAACCAAAUAUUUAGAAAGAAAUUUUGUUCAUCCUCUUCUCUCCCAUCACCACGGUCAUUUCCCUUCAUCUUAUCUCUGACAAGGAGCUAGAACUGAUGAUUAUAUAUGAACUAAGGGUAGUCGGAUUAAAAUAAAUGUUUUACCCAAAUUGUUCUUCUGUAGGGUUCAUUGUUUUUUAUAGCAUGGUGUAUGAAUUAUUUGUGGUUGAUUAAACAAGUCAGCAUUAUGGUUCACACAUUGAAAGGGGCAUACAAGGUGUGUUGUUUUUCAUGUAUCCAUUCACUUAAAUAAACUAAUUUAGGGAACAGUUCCUCUUAUGUACUAAUGGGCAUAAAGUUGAGGUGAUAAAACCCACUUUAUCUUCCCUGUUGUUAUUUUAUUUUGCAGAUAAUAAGCAAUGGUUAAUUUUAAAGGAACUUCAGAUUUGAUAUUAGUUAACUGAUGUUCUUUGUCCAGCGUGCUUUGUUUGGCAUCAGGAUUCGUCGUUUUAAUGUAACUUAACUACUUAAGAUUUGAUAUUAGUUACCUGAUCUUCAAAUAGUCAUUUAGUUGUCAUUGGUGAAUAUGGGCCACUAUGGUAAUCGACAUGUUGAGGAAACAUGUAGGCUCUAGCUUUUUUGUUGAGCUGGGAUGUCUUUUGAAGUGUUCAAAUAUCAGAUAUGUGUUCAAAGGAACUGUAUAGAAGUGUAUAUUGUCAUGGUGUAGUGAAGGAUGAUUCUGAAAAUCUGAGACCAUGAUUCUUUGCGUGCAUAGUUUUAUAUAUUUUCAGUGCAUUGUGAGAUUUAGUUCAGUGUAGUUUUAUAUACUCUUCUUAUGUUGAUUUGCUUGGUUUGCUCGCUUCAGGGAGGAGAGGUUUCAGAGUUCAAGCCGUUUCAAAGUAGAAACAGUGGAGGGCUAAGUUGUGUUGCAACUUCUUUUCAGCCCUAGUUGGUACACAUGAAAGCAAGCAGGGAAUUAUGAUGCUUAGUUACUGCCCAAAGUCCCGAAGUGAAUACCUCUUAUUUGUUGUCCAGAAUACCGAAGUGAAUACCUCUAUUUACUUUCUUCAUCAUGAAUGGUGUUGCUGUCCAGAAUA